AGAUAUUGAUGAAUGUUCAUUUGAAAGGACAUGUGACCAUACGUGCAUCAAUCAUCCAGGUUCUUUUGAGUGUAGUUGUAACAAAGGAUACAUCCUUUAUAGCUUCACAUGUUGUGGAGAUAUUAAUGAAUGUAGCAUCAACAAUGGAGGCUGCCAGCAGAUCUGUGUGAACACACUGGGAGGUUAUGAAUGCCAGUGUCUUUCCAGCCACAAAUUACACUGGAAUAAAAAAGACUGUAUUGGUAAGAGAAAGAGGGGCGGCUGCCUGGUACUAUAUCACCCUAAGUUUUGCUUUCCUGCAUUAAGAAUGGUGGGAGUGAUAGGUGCAUCUUAAACUGUCCCUCUGAGGUCCAUUUGAUUUCUGUGAACAGGAUCUGAUAGAAAUCCUAGUGUUGUCCAUGCCAUUCCACAGCUGGCCAAGAUUGUUCAGUGAUGUGAGGCACUGUCUGUGAAUGAACAUGCUGGCUGCAUGCUACUCCCAGCCUUUGUGUCCCAGGGAGCAGGAAAACAGGACUGGCCUUUAGUUACAGGACCAA
Non-coding RNA from Pelodiscus sinensis (Chinese soft-shelled turtle), 536 nucleotides. The record is from RefSeq and is a predicted model, not a curated record. Lineage: Eukaryota; Metazoa; Chordata; Testudines; Trionychidae.